GAUGAAGAACGCAGCGAAAUGCGAUAGGUAAUGUGAAUUGCAGAAUUCAGUGAAUCAUCGAAUCUUUGAACGCACAUUGCGCCCCUUGGUAUUCCGAGGGGCAUGCCUGUUCGAGCGUCAUUAUAACCCCUCAAGCUCAGCUUGGUGUUGGGGCCUGCUGCACUGGCAGCCCUUAAAAUCAGUGGCGGCGCCAUCUGGCUCUAAGCGUAGUAAUUCUUCUCGCUAUGGAGUCCUGGUGGAUGCUUGCCAUCAACCCCCAAUUUUUCUAUGGUUGACCUCGGAUCAGGUAGGGAUACCCGCUGAACUUAAGCAUAUCAAUAAGCGGAGGA
RNAcentral lists this unclassified non-coding RNA (329 nucleotides) under soil metagenome. Its description in RNAcentral is "partial contains 5.8S ribosomal RNA, internal transcribed spacer 2, and large subunit ribosomal RNA". The stretch from base 1 to 120 matches the Rfam family "5.8S ribosomal RNA", at positions 35 to 154 of the family's 154-position model. The record is from RNAcentral.